RNAcentral lists this long non-coding RNA (336 nucleotides) under Gallus gallus (chicken). RNAcentral's name for it is "lncRNA (ENSGALG00010011560.1)". The record is from RNAcentral. Lineage: Eukaryota; Metazoa; Chordata; Aves; Galliformes; Phasianidae.
GGUGUGGGGCGGCCGGGUCGGGCCGGUGCGGGCGCCAUGGAGUACGUGACGGCCGAGCAGCUGGCCGGCUUCAGCAAGUAUAAGCAGGAGGUUGUACUGUUUGGGUAUGCACCUUUGGAUAUAACUUAAGCCAUGGGACAGAAAGGUUUCUCUGCUGUACCAAAUUCACCCCCUUGCCUGACAGUGCUGAGGCUUCCCCAGGAGAUGCUGCUCACAGUGGUCAGAAAGCCAAACAGAUCCUAAGUGAGUCUGCCCCAACAUUACCUCCUGCUCAUCAGGUUGGUGCAGAGGACUGAUAGCUCUGGCAGAUCGGAGGGCUUGUUAUCAGAAAUAAAG